Molecule: ribosomal RNA, 1481 nt
Filed under: metagenome
Description: bacterial LSU rRNA
Rfam family: Bacterial large subunit ribosomal RNA
Source: RNAcentral
CAGGGUUAGUCUGGACCUAACACGAGGCCGUAAGGCGUAGUGGAUGGACAGAAGGUUAAAUAUUCCUUCACUGACUAGGAUUAAGGUAUGGAGUGCGUAGAGAGAAAAGUGACUAGGCAAUCGAAUGCUGAGCUUAGGUUUCGGCCGAAGCGUAUCACCGGACAAUCUAUCUAGAAAAGCUCCAUACUGUUUCCCUGGUUACCAGUACCGUAAACCGACACAGGUGGGUGAGUCGAAUAGACUAAGGCGCGCGAGAGAAACCUCUCUAAGGAACUCGGCACAUUAGCCCCGUAACUUCGGGAGAAGGGGUGCCCUUCGCAAGAAGGGUCUCAGUAAAUUGCGUUUAGCGACUGUUUAACAAAAACACAGCACUCUGCAAAGUCGUCAAGACGACGUAUAGGGUGUGACACGUGACCAAUGCGGAAAGAUCAAGGCAACUUGUUAGCCGUAAGGCGAAGCUCGGAACCUAAGUCCCCGUGAAUGUCGGCCGUAACUAUAACGGUCCUAAGGUAGCGAAAUUCCUUGUCGGGUAAGUUCCGACCUGCACGAAUCGUGUAACGACUGAACGACUGUCUCGGAGAGGAUCUCGGCGAAAUUGUAAUUGCGGUGAAGAUGCCGCAUGCCCGCAGUACGACGGAAAGACCCUAUGCACCUUUACUGUAAGCUCGUAUUGUGUUCUGAUUCAUGAUGCUUAGCGUAGGUGGGAGACUUUGAAGCUGUGGCUUCGGUUGCAGCAGAGUCGCAAUGUGAAACACCACUCUUUGUGAAUUAGGAUUCUAACCUCAGCCUGUUAGCCAGGUGAGGGACAGUGCGUGCGGGUCAGUUUGACUGGGGCGGUUUCCUCCCAAAUUGUAACGGAGGAGCGCGAAGGUACUCUCAGCAUGGUUGGCAACUAUGCGUCGAGCGUAUGGGUAGAAGAGUGCUUAACUGUGAGACCUACAAGUCGAGCAGGUACGAAAGUAGGCCCAAAUGAUCCGACGGUAGAAUGUGGAAUUGCCGUCGCUCAACGGACAAAAGGUACGCUAGGGAUAACAGGCUGAUCGGAUCCAAGAGUUCAUAUCGACGAUCCGGUUUGGCACCUCGAUGUCGGCUCAUCGCAUCCUGGGGCUGGAGAAGGUCCCAAGGGUCCGGCUGUUCGCCGGUUAAAGCGGUACGCGAGCUGGGUUCAGGACGUCGUGAGACAGUUCGGUCCUUAUCCACUGUGGGCGCAGGAAACUUGAGGGGUUCAUUCUCUAGUACGAGAGGACCGAGAAUGACGCACUUCUGGUGUGGCAGUUAUUCCGUCAGGGGUAGCGCUGCGUAGCCAUGUGCGGAAGAGAUAAGCGCUGAAAGCAUCUAAGUGCCAAGCUCAUCCCAAGAUAUUGUUUCCCGGUCGCAAGACCCUAAAGACUCCAGGAGGACUACCUGGUUGAUAGGUUAGGCGUGUAAGAGGAGUAAUCUUUUUAGCGGACUAAUACUAAUUUGUCGUGCGGCUUGAUUAC